This 216-nucleotide ribosomal RNA is filed under the name Glomeromycotina sp. RNAcentral describes it as "partial small subunit ribosomal RNA". The stretch from base 40 to 216 matches the Rfam family "Eukaryotic small subunit ribosomal RNA", at positions 686 to 864 of the family's 1831-position model. The record is from RNAcentral. Lineage: Eukaryota; Fungi; Glomeromycota.
GGGUAAGUUGGUUGGUCGUGCCACCGGUUCGUACUGGUCUCACUGAUUCCUCCUUCCUGAAGAACCGUAAUGCCAUUAAAUUGGUGUUGCGGGGAAACAGGACUGUUACUUUGAAAAAAUUAGAGUGUUUAAAGCAAGCUAACGCUUGAAUACAUUAGCAUGGAAUAAUGAAAUAGGACGAUCGAUCCUAUUUUGUUGGUUUCUAGGAUUGACGUA